GACGUAGGGGGCGAGCGUUGUCCGGAUUUAUUGGGCGUAAAGGGUUCCUAGGCGGCUUAUGCAAGUCGGGUGUGAAAACUCCAGGCUCAACCUGGAGACUGCAUUCGAUACUGCUAUGGCUAGAGUUCGGUAGGGGCGCAUGGAAUACCCGGUGUAGCGGUGAAAUGCUUAGAUAUCGGGUGGAACACCAGUGGCGAAGGCGGUGCGCUGGGCCGAAACUGACGCUGAAGAACGAAAGCGUGGGUAGCAAACAGG
RNAcentral lists this ribosomal RNA (255 nucleotides) under uncultured bacterium. RNAcentral's name for it is "partial 16S ribosomal RNA". It matches the Rfam family "Bacterial small subunit ribosomal RNA", at positions 524 to 776 of the family's 1533-position model. The record is from RNAcentral.